AUUGAACGCUGGCGGCAGGCCUAACACAUGCAAGUCGAACGGAUGAGCGGACGGGUAAGUGAUGCCUAGGAAUCUGCCUGGUAGUGAUGGAUAGCGUCCGGAAACGGACGCUAUUGCCACAUCCUCUCGGAUGAGCCUAGGCCGGAUUAGCUAGUUGGUGGGGGAAAGGCCUACCAAGGCGACGAUCCGUAACUGGUCUGGGAGGAUGAUCAGUCACACUGGAACUGAGACACGGUCCAGACUCCUACGGGAGGCAGCAGUGGGGAAUAUUGGACAAUGGGCGAAAGCCUGAUCCAGCCAUGCCGCGUGUGUGAAGAAGGUCUUCGGAUUGUAAAGCACUUUAAGUUGGGAGGCGUUACCAACAGAAUAAGCACCGGCUAACUUCGUGCCAGCCGCCGCGGUAAUUC
RNAcentral lists this ribosomal RNA (407 nucleotides) under uncultured bacterium. RNAcentral describes it as "partial 16S ribosomal RNA". It matches the Rfam family "Bacterial small subunit ribosomal RNA", at positions 30 to 526 of the family's 1533-position model. The record is from RNAcentral.